Molecule: transfer RNA, 67 nt
Filed under: Pisidia serratifrons
Lineage: Eukaryota; Metazoa; Arthropoda; Malacostraca; Decapoda; Porcellanidae
Description: tRNA-Pro
Source: RNAcentral
CAAAAGAUAGUUUAAAAAAAAUUUUAACUUUGGGAGUUAAAGAUGAAAUAAAUUAUUUUUCUUUUGA